UGGGGAAUAUUGGACAAUGGGCGCAAGCCUGAUCCAGCCGUGCCGCGUGAGUGAUGAAGGCCUUAGGGUUGUAAAGCUCUUUUGGCGGGGACGAUAAUGACGGUACCCGCAGAAUAAGCCCCGGCUAACUUCGUGCCAGCAGCCGCGGUAAUACGAAGGGGGCUAGCGUUGUUCGGAAUCACUGGGCGUAAAGCGCACGUAGGCGGACCUUCAAGUCAGGGGUGAAAUCCCGGGGCUCAACCUCGGAACUGCCUUUGAUACUGUUGGUCUCGAGUCCGGAAGAGGUGGGUGGAAUUCCUAGUGUAGAGGUGAAAUUCGUAGAUAUUAGGAAGAACACCGGUGGCGAAGGCGGCCCACUGGUCCGGUACUGACGCUGAGGUGCGAAAGCGUGGGGAGCAAACAGGAUUAGAUACCCGUGUAGUCCCUGAGCGGGCUGGCAAGGCGCAU
This 447-nucleotide ribosomal RNA is filed under the name uncultured bacterium. RNAcentral's name for it is "bacterial SSU rRNA". It matches the Rfam family "Bacterial small subunit ribosomal RNA", at positions 355 to 825 of the family's 1533-position model. The record is from RNAcentral.